RNAcentral lists this ribosomal RNA (435 nucleotides) under uncultured bacterium. Its description in RNAcentral is "partial 16S ribosomal RNA". It matches the Rfam family "Bacterial small subunit ribosomal RNA", at positions 29 to 507 of the family's 1533-position model. The record is from RNAcentral.
AGCGAACGCUGGCGGCAGGCUUAACACAUGCAAGUCGAGCGGGCACUUUCGGGUGUCAGCGGCGGACGGGUGAGUAACGCGUGGGAACGUGCCCUCUGGUUCGGAAUAACUCAGGGAAACUUGAGCUAAUACCGGAUACGCCCUCUUGGGGAAAGGCUUGCUGCCGGAGGAUCGGCCCGCGUCUGAUUAGCUAGUUGGUGAGGUAACGGCUCACCAAGGCGAAGAUCAGUAGCUGGUCUGAGAGGAUGAUCAGGCACACGGGGACUGAGACACGGCCCAGACUCCUACGGGAGGCAGCAGUGGGGAAUAUUGGACAAUGGGCGCGAGCCUGAUCCAGCCAUGCCGCGUGAGUGAUGAAGGCCUUAGGGUUGUAAAGCUCUUUUAUCCGGGACGAUAAUGACGGUACCGGAGGAAUAAGCCCCGGCUAACUUCGUG